UCCCCUACUUUUGGUGAAGUUAGGUGUGGUAGUGAAGCUAAAUGUGCUUUGAGUUGUUGAAAUGCCUCAUCGCACUCUGGAGUCCAUGUUAGUGCCCCCUUUUGACUAGUUUUUAGUAACUGAAAAAAGGGUUUGCACUUGUCUGCUGUUUUGGAAAUGAACCGACUUAAGGCGUUGAUUUUUCCAUUCAGCUUUUGCACCUCCUUUAUUGUUCGAGG
This 218-nucleotide long non-coding RNA is filed under the name Zostera marina. RNAcentral's name for it is "long non-coding RNA (ZMAR_LNC003867)". The record is from RNAcentral. Lineage: Eukaryota; Viridiplantae; Streptophyta; Magnoliopsida; Alismatales; Zosteraceae.